This 249-nucleotide ribosomal RNA is filed under the name uncultured Sorangiineae bacterium. RNAcentral describes it as "partial 16S ribosomal RNA". It matches the Rfam family "Bacterial small subunit ribosomal RNA", at positions 796 to 1041 of the family's 1533-position model. Lineage: Bacteria; Pseudomonadati; Myxococcota; Myxococcia; Myxococcales. The record is from RNAcentral.
CAUGCCGUAAACGAUGGGUGCUAGGUGUCGCGGGCAUUGACCCCUGCGGUGCCGUAGCUAACGCAUUAAGCACCCCGCCUGGGGAGUACGGCCGCAAGGCUAAAACUCAAAGGAAUUGACGGGGGCCCGCACAAGCGGUGGAGCAUGUGGUUUAAUUCGAUGCAACGCGAAGAACCUUACCUGGGCUAGAAAACGCGAGAGCCUGGCGGAAACGUCGGGGUGCCCUUCGGGGAGCUCGUGGUUAGGUGC